Molecule: transfer RNA, 84 nt
Filed under: Dialister micraerophilus DSM 19965
Lineage: Bacteria; Bacillati; Bacillota; Negativicutes; Veillonellales; Veillonellaceae
Rfam family: tRNA
About the family: Transfer RNA (tRNA) molecules are approximately 80 nucleotides in length. Their secondary structure includes four short double-helical elements and three loops (D, anti-codon, and T loops).
Source: Rfam by way of RNAcentral
GCGGCUGUGGCGGAAUUGGCAGACGCGCUACUUUGAGGGGGUAGUGAUCUUUCGAUCGUGUGAGUUCAAGUCUCACCAGCCGCA